Molecule: long non-coding RNA, 1522 nt
Organism: Pectinophora gossypiella (pink bollworm)
Lineage: Eukaryota; Metazoa; Arthropoda; Insecta; Lepidoptera; Gelechiidae
Exons: 5
Source: RefSeq, a predicted model, not a curated record
AAUUGAACUGUAAGUCUCACUAAAUUUCAAAUAUGUUGGUGCGACAGAGUCCCAAAGUGGGUACAUUAUAUUGCUCAUGGCUGUACGUACAAACUCCCCACUACGUAUUGUUCCCUGACGAUGACGUACGUGACCAAUCAAAUGACCCCUAGUGCGCGUCGCACUGCCUCUCGUGAGUCCUACACACCCGUGGUCGCGGGGGGCAGGGUGGCGCUGCUCACUCGCCUUGGCUGGCUGGUCGGUCUAGCGGUUACUAUUAGUAUACUACCUUCACGGUACAAAAAUAAUACGUCGGUUUAAAUAACCAUAAUUCAUGUAUUCUUCACGUCUGAAGUGAAACUUUAUUAUUGGUUUUACACUAAUAUUAUUCUGAAUAUCAGUACCAGUGUUGAAUGGAAGUUUGUGUUGCCAACCGUAAUAUACCGCAGUGCAGUUAACUUUAAGAGGCGUUGUUUAGCCUAUAUACAUUUCAUCAUCACGGAGCGUGGAGCAAGGGUCCUUGUAUAUGCCGGGUACCACUUCGCCAAGCAUCGCACUAAGGGUGAUAAGACUCGUUGGUUCUGCAGGACUCAUCGCAAGAUGGGAUGUAACGCAAUGCUCUACACUGUCGGAGACGUAUUCGUGCACGCGCUGGCCAAUCACAACCACCCGCCACUUGAUGAUUUCACUUGUUGAUCUUCAUCUUCUAUCGUGUGGGUUGUGAGGUGGACUACCAACCACAUCAACCCUGAUGUCAGGGUUACUAUUGAGCCGCCAAAGGCCCCUGACGUGAGUCGCUCAAUCUUCAUUACAUUAGAAAAUUGAAGAGGUUAUGAGAUUACAUAAAUAAUGUCGAUUAAUGCUGAUAAGCAAGGUUCUCUUACUGCACUAUCUGAAGAAACUUAUAAUGAAGUAUACAUCAGACAUCGUCAGAGAAGCUGCUGGAGCGUACGGCGGUUGAAGUUCUUGGAUCUCAAGUCUUCUUCUAGAAGUUUGGAUAACAUCUGGAAGAGCUAGGAACUCAGCUUUUUUCAAGAAAAACAACAUGCGUUUUAUUUUAAUAAAAAUCCAGUGUUCAUGACGAGUAGUCGAGGCGCACGAAUGAUCAUGAUGAACGGAUAUAAGUACCGUAUACAUAGGAACCAAGGGGCCAAAAUCCGUUGGUGGUGUACAUUCGUCCAUCAUGGCUGCAAAGCCGUCAUCUUCACCUUAGACGAUGAAAUCGUGAAGUUUAAUAAUGACCACAACCAUCCCCCUUAUAUACCUCCCAAUUUUGUCAUUGGGUGAUGGUACCAAAGUUAUGGUAAAAGUAUGAUGGUUGUGGCGUUCGUUGCCCAGUAUUUGAAGUUUUUGAAGUAUCAAUUAUAUUCAUUCAAAAUUUAAGAGUUAGUCGUUUGUUGGUGAAGUUCUUUCUACAUUUGCCAACAUACAUACAUAAAUAAACUCACGCCUAUUUUGCACCGUAUGUAUCUUUUCCUCUAAUAAAACUUGAAGUAACCAAUAUCAAUAAUAUAACCAAAUAAAAUAAUAGUCAUAUAUUAUA